RNAcentral lists this ribosomal RNA (948 nucleotides) under uncultured Bacillota bacterium. RNAcentral describes it as "bacterial SSU rRNA". It matches the Rfam family "Bacterial small subunit ribosomal RNA", at positions 1 to 916 of the family's 1533-position model. Lineage: Bacteria; Bacillati; Bacillota. The record is from RNAcentral.
GGAUCCAGACUUUGAUUCUGGCUCGGGAUGAACGCUGGCGGCAUGCCUAAGACAUGCAAGUCGAACGAGGUGGCCCAAAGAAGAUUGAGUGCUUGCACAAGAUUGGAUUUGGAUUACCACCUAGUGGCGGACGGGUGAGUAACACGUAGGUGACCUGCCUUUGAGUUUGGGAUAACUAUUAGAAAUGAUAGCUAAUACCGGAUUAAAUGCAGAUUCGUUUCUGUAUUAAAAGGAGCCUUUAAAGCUUCGCUUAAAGAUGAGCCUGCGGCGUAUUAGCUAGUUGGUGAGGUAAUGGCUUACCAAGGCGACGAUGCGUAGCCGAACUGAGAGGUUGAUCGGCCACAUUGGGACUGAGACACGGCCCAAACUCCUACGGGAGACAGCAGUUAGGAAUAUUCGUCAAUGGGGGAAACCCUGAACGAGCAAUGCCGCGUGAACGAUGAAGGCCCUAUGGGUUGUAAAGUUCUGUUGCAUGGGACGAACGGCUAGGAUAGGAAAUGAUCUUAGCGUGACGGUACCAUGCCAGAAAGCUCCGGCUAACUACGUGCCAGCAGCCGCGGUAAUACGUAGGGAGCAAGCGUUAUCCGGAUUUAUUGGGCGUAAAGGGUGCGUAGGCGGUUUGUUAAGUAUGAGAUUAAAGCCUGGGGCUUAACCUCAGUUCGUUUCAUGAACUGGCAGACUUGAGUAUGGCAGAGGUAAACGGAAUUUCUAGUGUAGCGGUUAAAUGCGUAGAUAUUAGAAGGAACACCAGUGGCGAAGGCGGUUUACUGGGCCAUAACUGACGCUGAGGCACGAAAGCGUGGGGAGCAAAUAGGAUUAGAUACCCUAGUAGUCCACGCCGUAAACGAUGAGUACUAAGUGUUGGGGCAACCCAGUGCUGAAGUUAACACAUUAAGUACUCCGCCUGAGUAGUACGGUCGCAAGGCUGCAACUCAAAGGAAUUGACGG